ACGGAGGUGGCAGGCGUUACUCGGAUUGAUUGGGUGUAAAGGGAGCGUAGGUGGCAAAUUAAGUCAAAGGUGAAAUACUCUGGCUCAACCAGAGAACUGCCUUCGAAACUAAUUUGCUUGAGUGAUGGAGAGGAAGAUGGAAUUCCCGGUGUAACAGUGAAAUGUGUAGAUAUCGGGAGGAACACCAGUGGCGAAGGCGAUCUUCUGGACAUCUACUGACACUGAGGCUCGAGAGCUAGGGGAGCAAACAG
RNAcentral lists this ribosomal RNA (251 nucleotides) under uncultured prokaryote. Its description in RNAcentral is "partial 16S rRNA". It matches the Rfam family "Bacterial small subunit ribosomal RNA", at positions 525 to 775 of the family's 1533-position model. The record is from RNAcentral.